UACUACGUCGGCAUUCUGAUGAGCCAAUCUUGUUGUUAUCAGGAUGAACUCUAUCAAAGUUGUAGCGUUGUUCGCGGUAAUUUUGUCGUUUUUACUGACUGAGGUGACCAGUAGUGACAAGACUGAACUAGGAGCGGAUUGGAGCGUUUUUCAUUCAUACCAUGUUCAUGGAGACGAAGACUCUAUUAUCGAAAGAAAAGCACUGAAGAAGGAGCAGAAAAUACACCUUGGCAGAAAAGGUGGGAAAUGUCGUAACAGGAAAUGCUGGAAGGCGUGCUAUUAUGUGCUGAAGAGGGGAGGACGAUGUUCCUCCGACAGAAAACUGUGUGCCUGUUUCGAAGAGUGAAACAAAAGCACGCUAUGGCUGCAGCAAUGAGAGCGACGACUGAAAGCUUUCGAAUCUUUUCUCCAUUUUCUGUUUGACAAAUUUAAAAAUAAAAAAAUAAACUGCAGCCGAAAAGUACCAAAAAGUA
Molecule: long non-coding RNA, 473 nt
Organism: Lingula anatina
Lineage: Eukaryota; Metazoa; Brachiopoda; Lingulata; Lingulida; Lingulidae
Source: RefSeq, a predicted model, not a curated record